AAGAAACAAGACAAGACAAACGUUAAAAGAAAGGAGGACAUUCUGAUAUAAAACAAUUUUGAACGACAAAACAUGAACAGGAAAUUAUACGACUCGUUUUUGGAUGGUCAACCCCGUCAAGAGUGAUCAACGUGGUGCAGGAUUAUUCCUACAAUUACUGUGAGUGGUGUAGUGGAUGGCUGGAAAGAAGAGCCUACCAAGACCCUCACGUCAUCAAAAACAUCCCAGUUUUGACCUGGUGGAAGGUGGUUUAAAACGGAUUUUUGGAGCCGCCAGUGGU
This is a long non-coding RNA of Alosa sapidissima (American shad), 280 nucleotides long. RefSeq lists it as uncharacterized. The record is from RefSeq and is a predicted model, not a curated record. The transcript has 3 exons. NCBI's taxonomy places the organism in Eukaryota, Metazoa, Chordata, Actinopteri, Clupeiformes, Clupeidae.